RNAcentral lists this ribosomal RNA (329 nucleotides) under uncultured eukaryote. RNAcentral describes it as "partial 18S ribosomal RNA". It matches the Rfam family "Eukaryotic small subunit ribosomal RNA", at positions 1470 to 1796 of the family's 1831-position model. The record is from RNAcentral.
CCCUUAGAUGUCCUGGGCCGCACGCGCGCUACACUGAGUGUCUGAGAUACGAGUCUGCCUGGUCCGGCAAGGUCUAGGUAAUCGCUAAAAGACACAUCAUGCUUGGGAUAGAUUAUUGCAAAUAUUAAUCUUGAACGAGGAAUUCCUAGUAAGCGUAAGUCAACAGCUUGCGUUGAUUACGUCCCUGCCCUUUGUACACACCGCCCGUCGCUACUACUGAUUGGAUGUUUAAGCGAGGUUCUCGAACUGCUAGCGACUUAGCUUCGGUGAGGUCGCAGUGUGGGAAGUGAACCUAGCUUUGGUGUCUAGAGGAAGUAAAAGUCGUAACA